RNAcentral lists this ribosomal RNA (301 nucleotides) under uncultured bacterium. RNAcentral describes it as "partial 16S ribosomal RNA". It matches the Rfam family "Bacterial small subunit ribosomal RNA", at positions 509 to 807 of the family's 1533-position model. The record is from RNAcentral.
CAGUCGCCGCGGUAAUACGAAGGGUGCAAGCGUUACUCGGAAUUACUGGGCGUAAAGCGUGUGUAGGUGGUUGUUUAAGUCUGUCGUGAAAGCCCUGGGCUCAACCUGGGAAUUGCGAUGGAUACUGGGCGACUAGAGUGCGGUAGAGGAUAGUGGAAUUUCCGGUGUAGCAGUGAAAUGCGUAGAGAUCGGAAGGAACAUCUGUGGCGAAGGCGACUAUCUGGGCCAACACUGACACUGAGACACGAAAGCGUGGGGAGCAAACAGGAUUAGAUACCCCGGUAGUCCCUGUCUCUUAUAC